RNAcentral lists this ribosomal RNA (496 nucleotides) under uncultured bacterium. RNAcentral's name for it is "partial 16S ribosomal RNA". It matches the Rfam family "Bacterial small subunit ribosomal RNA", at positions 28 to 507 of the family's 1533-position model. The record is from RNAcentral.
GACGAACGCUGGCGGCGUGCCUAAUACAUGCAAGUAGAACGCUGAAGAGAGGAGCUUGCUCUUCUUGGAUGAGUUGCGAACGGGUGAGUAACGCGUAGGUAACCUGCCUUGUAGCGGGGGAUAACUAUUGGAAACGAUAGCUAAUACCGCAUAACAAUGGAUGACACAUGUCAUUUAUUUGAAAGGGGCAAUUGCUCCACUACAAGAUGGACCUGCGUUGUAUUAGCUAGUAGGUGAGGUAAUGGCUCACCUAGGCGACGAUACAUAGCCGACCUGAGAGGGUGAUCGGCCACCCUGGGACUGAGACACGGCCCAGACUCCUCCGGGAGGCAGCAGUAGGGAAUCUUCGGCAAUGGGGGCAACCCUGCCCGAGCAACGCCGCGUGAGUGAGAAGGUUUUCGGAUCGUAAAGCUCUGUUGUAAGUCAAGAACGGGUGUGAGAGUGGAAAGUUCACACUGUGACGGUAGCUUACCAGAAAGGGACGGCUAACUACGUG